RNAcentral lists this ribosomal RNA (460 nucleotides) under uncultured bacterium. Its description in RNAcentral is "partial 16S ribosomal RNA". It matches the Rfam family "Bacterial small subunit ribosomal RNA", at positions 338 to 795 of the family's 1533-position model. The record is from RNAcentral.
CCUACGGGAGGCAGCAGUGAGGAAUAUUGGUCAAUGGCCGGAAGGCUGAACCAGCCAUGCCGCGUGAAGGUCAGUGCCCUAUGGGCGUUAAACUUCUUUUGUGCGGGAGCAAUAAUGGUCACGUGUGGCCAGACGAGAGUACCGUACGAAUAAGCAUCGGCUAACUCCGUGCCAGCAGCCGCGGUAAUACGGGGGAUGCAAGCGUUAUCGGGAUUUAUUGGGUUGAAAGGGUGCGUAGGCUGUGAGGUAAGUCAGCGGUGAAAUGCCCCCGCUCAACGGGGUGAAGUGCCAUUGAUACUGCCGUGCUGGAAUGCGGAUGCCGUGGGAGGAAGGUGUGGUGUAGCGGUGAAAUGCAUAGAUAUCACACAGAACACCGAUUGCGAAGGCAUCUCACGAAUCCGCGAUUGACGCUGAUGCACGAAAGCGUGGGUAUCAAACAGGAUUAGAUACCCGUGUAGUC